AAAUCCUUAUAAAGGGUUUUUACUAAGUUUCUCUGAUUUAGGGCAGCUAUUGGGAUUAA
Molecule: transfer RNA, 59 nt
Filed under: Cryptocephalus pusillus
Lineage: Eukaryota; Metazoa; Arthropoda; Insecta; Coleoptera; Chrysomelidae
Description: tRNA-Glu
Source: RNAcentral